CGCUGUCCGCAAGGGCAGAGGAAAGUCCGGACUCCGCAGGGCGGAGGGUCCGUCCGUAAAGGACGGAAGGCGUGGGGCGAUCCCGCGCGAUGGAAAGCGCCACAGAAAAGAGACGUGCCCGCCCCUGGCUUCGGCCGGGGCGAGUAAACGGUGAAAGGGCGGUGCAAGAGACCACCGGCUCCGGCGGAGACGUCGGGGCGCAAGGCAAGCCCCCCUCGGAGCAAGAUCAAAUAGGGGACCGACCGGCUGCCCGUCGGGGAUCCGCCGCAAGGCGGGCUGAGGUUCCGGGUUGAUUGCUCAGAUGAAUGAUCGGAGGUCCGCCUCGGCGGGCUGAACAGAAUCUGGCUUAUUCGCCG
This 356-nucleotide RNase P RNA is filed under the name bovine gut metagenome. RNAcentral describes it as "Bacterial RNase P class A". It matches the Rfam family "Bacterial RNase P class A". From Rfam's summary of the family: Ribonuclease P (RNase P) is a ubiquitous endoribonuclease, found in archaea, bacteria and eukarya as well as chloroplasts and mitochondria. The record is from RNAcentral.